Molecule: ribosomal RNA, 497 nt
Filed under: uncultured bacterium
Lineage: Bacteria
Description: partial 16S ribosomal RNA
Rfam family: Bacterial small subunit ribosomal RNA
Source: RNAcentral
GACGAACGCUGGCGGCGUGCCUAAUACAUGCAAGUAGAACGCUGAAGAGAGGAGCUUGCUCUUCUUGGAUGAGUUGCGAACGGGUGAGUAACGCGUAGGUAACCUGCCUUGUAGCGGGGGAUAACUAUUGGAAACGAUAGCUAAUACCGCAUAACAAUGGAUGACACAUGUCAUUUAUUUGAAAGGUGCAAUUGCUCCACUACAAGAUGGACCUGCGUUGUAUUAGCUAGUAGGUGAGGUACUGGCUCACCUAGGCGACGAUACAUAGCCGACCUGCGAGGGUGGUCGGCCACACUGAGACUGAGACACGGCCCAGACUCCUUCGGGAGGCAGCAGUAGGGAAUCGUCGGCAAUGGGGGCGACCCUGACCGAGCAACGCCGCGUGAGUGAAGAAGGUUUUCGGAUCGUAAAGCUCUGUUGUAAGUCAAGAACGGGUGUGAGAGUGGAAAGUUCACACUGUGACGGUAGCUUAACAGAAAGGGACGGCUAACUACGUG